Long non-coding RNA from Drosophila montana, 706 nucleotides. RefSeq lists it as uncharacterized. The transcript is spliced from 3 exons. The record is from RefSeq and is a predicted model, not a curated record. NCBI's taxonomy places the organism in Eukaryota, Metazoa, Arthropoda, Insecta, Diptera, Drosophilidae.
UAAAUGAAUGAAUUUUUAAAAAUAAAUAUUGACUAAAUACAACUCGAAAGACUUCAAUCUGAAGGCAGCCACAAGUUCAAGCUCAUUAACAAGCUCUUGGUCUUUAGCUGGACUACGAUACAAGCCGUACAAAUGUUGUUCGAGUAACAAAAAGCAACGAGAGAAGCGGCCAGCAAAGCCGCUGAUAAGGCAAAAACAAGGGAAAAAGCCAAAUGUAAAAAACAGCUGAAGAAAAACGUGCUGCUAAAGACAAGAAAGAGUGUAAAGGAAAACCGAGCGAAGCGUUUUGAGUUAAAUGCAAAAUGACAGGGCCUGUCACUACAACAACAACAACAACAACAACAACAAUAAUAACGACAACAACAAAAGCAAAUUGUCAAAGGUGCCGCAUCUGUUGGCCAUUUGGCAGUUAGGCAAAUGAGUUAACUCGAGUUGAAUUUUAGCUGAGUUUGCGUGCCGCGCUGUGGCACGUUCGUUUAUUGAAGCCAGCGACUCCUCUUGAAUUUUCCCAAUCGUCGCCCGAGGGCAGCAUGAGCUGGGCUUCUAAUUAGCCAACUCAAAUUGGCCGCCGGUUAAAUAUGCAUUAAUUAAGUGCUAAACGCAUCGAAGCGAGCGGCGAAAGUUUGCACAGUUGGCCAGUGUUGGCCAGGGUGGUGGUUGGUGGCUUGGGGCCAGUGCUGUUAAACGUAAUAAAUAAAUAAGCUAA